UGAGGAAUAUUGGACAAUGGGCGCAAGCCUGAUCCAGCCAUGCCGCGUGCAGGAUGACGGUCCUAUGGAUUGUAAACUGCUUUUGUACAGGAAGAAACAGUUCUACGUGUAGAACCUUGACGGUACUGUAAGAAUAAGGAUCGGCUAACUCCGUGCCAGCAGCCGCGGUAAUACGGAGGAUCCAAGCGUUAUCCGGAAUCAUUGGGUUUAAAGGGUCCGUAGGCGGUUAGAUAAGUCAGUGGUGAAAGCCCAUCGCUCAACGGUGGAACGGCCAUUGAUACUGUCUGACUUGAAUUAUUAGGAAGUAACUAGAAUAUGUAGUGUAGCGGUGAAAUGCUUAGAGAUUGCAUGGAAUACCAAUUGCGAAGGCAGGUUACUACUAAUGGAUUGACGCUGAUGGACGAAAGCGUGGGUAGCGAACAGGAUUAGAUACCCAGUAGUCCCUGAGCGGGCUGGCAAGGCGCAU
This 466-nucleotide ribosomal RNA is filed under the name uncultured bacterium. RNAcentral's name for it is "bacterial SSU rRNA". It matches the Rfam family "Bacterial small subunit ribosomal RNA", at positions 355 to 825 of the family's 1533-position model. The record is from RNAcentral.